This 6156-nucleotide ribosomal RNA is filed under the name Triticum aestivum (bread wheat). RNAcentral's name for it is "partial small subunit ribosomal RNA". Lineage: Eukaryota; Viridiplantae; Streptophyta; Magnoliopsida; Poales; Poaceae. The record is from RNAcentral.
AUGGGCCCUCUUGUGGUAGACCCACAUGUCAUCGGUGUAACUAUUUACACUCCGGAGGACGGUGCCUAUAUCCUGGUAGUAGUACUAGUAGAAUUGAGAUUUAAUGCACUUUCUUCCCCGUCUUCCACUCUUCUUCCUCCUCUCUUCUUUUUCCUCCUCUCUUCCCCAUCAUUGGCCGCACACCAUUUACCCCCGCUUACUGCUCGCCCGCCCGCGCCAUCUUCCUUGGUAGCUCGCGCAUACCAUAUCCCCCCGCUCACUGCUCCAGACGCAAAUGUGCUGGCCUUCAUGAUUCCAGGACCUGCAAUCAUACCAGCCGAUGGUUUGAAGCACUCCUCUGGUUUGAAGGAUAGAUACCUUCCCGGGAUCAAGUGCAUCCUAACUCACCUGCUACCAUAUAACUGGAAUUACCGAUGCAAGUCGAAGAAGGAUUGGCUGGUGCUGCCGGCUGGCAUCAAGUUCGAUCCCAUGAAUCAGGAGCUGAUCAAGCACCUUGAGGCCAAAGUGAGGGUUGACAGCGCGAGAUUUCAGUCUCUCAUUGAUUUGUUCAUACCAACCAUCGACAGCGAGCACGACAUAUGCUACACCCAACCUGAGAAACUUCCAGUUAAGACACCGAUCGGCCGUCUACUUGCACAAACAUAUUCCUUUGUUUAUAGCUCUAUUUUUCUUUUUAGACGCAGACCUGGUAUCACACUGAGUGGCCUAAGGAAGCAUUUCUUCCAGCGCAAUUCCAGGGCAUUCAAAAGGGGCACGUGGAUGCGUCCAAAAAAGGUUCUGGUGCUGCACACCAACAAGAACUUCGACCAGCAGAGGACCAACUGUGUGAUGCACCAGUACCACAUCGGGGACCUGGAGCAAGAGAAGGAGCGGGAGCUGGUCCUCUUCAAGAUUUUCUACCAGACGAACACUAGGGCCAGGAGUAGUUUGGUAUUGGUAGUUGUACUACCUUGUCGUCCGCAAGUUGGUAUUGUUGUUAACGAUCUUUUGGCCCAGCCCAUGACGACAACGGUCCACAAAGAUCCAGCAGUUCGAGCUAACCGCCGGGCAGACGCUGUAGCGCCGUCACCAACUAUCGCUUCUAACCCUAACCGGCCGGCGGGCGGUGGUAUUCAUCAGAAGCACGAGACGACUUGUUUUUGUUCUUCCUCGCGCGGAGGAAGUCGUCUUCAUCCCCGCCGUUGGAGCUGCAAGGGGAUCUCGCAUGUUCUCCAGGUAGAGGCUGCAGGGUUGGCAGUUGAUGCUGCUGCGGUAGCUUUGGCCAAGGUGUCACUUGUUAAUGGCGAAGGAAGUGGUGGGAAUGCAGGUGAAGGGGGUGGUAUGGUUGAUAGCAAAGGAAAUGCUGGUGGAAUAAAUGAGACGUGCAAAGUUGGUGGUGUCUUCUGCUCUCCUCAUAUCGGUGCCGACAGUGUUGAAGGUAUUUCAUCGCCGGAUGUUAACGAUUUCAUCAUGCAAUCUUGCCGUGACAUCAAUGCCCAACAUGUUGCGCCUAAUUCCCCACCGACGCACAACAUGGCUGCGCCUCCCAAUGUUGAACCAUGUAGAGCUUCCGAUGGAGACAACUUUGUGUGCAGUCUGACUCCACUGUGGUGCGAUACGCAAUCGCAGUCAGUCAUUGGCAAUGAGAUUGUUACACAGGAUUAUAUGGUCUCACAACAGUUAAGGAAUGAGGAGAUAAGGCAGCUAGAGAAGCGGAAUUUUUUUCCAGAGAAAGUUGAUGCUCAUGAGAGGAAGAAGCGGUUAAGGCUCCCCAAAGGUCUAGUUGAUACCUCAAAUGUCACCAGCAAUGCUCAUGCUCCGGAUACAGGAACUGGAGUCCGUGUGCAGGUUGGUACAUCACGGGAUCCUCCUAGUGGUGUAGCCAGUAAGACUGUUGUUCCAUCUCCAUGUCGGAGUCCACGCAUUGCCAGUGGUCCAGUGGUUGAUCGUGUCUAUCCGAGUAUUAAACUUGGUGGAAAGCGUUGUUCAGAAGCUGGAGGUGAUUUUGUAGGAGGUCCUUCUGUUGAUGGCAUUGGGCUCGACGGGGAUAAUGUUGUUCAUAGGAAGCGCCGGCCUAAGGUUGUUGGGAGUGGAGCAAAGAAGAAGGUUGCAAAGUCUGCGGUGUCAAACGCUGGUGCUUGUGAUAGGAUCAAUGUCUUGAAGGGCAAUGUUUCACGUCUUCUGAUGUGCCACUUGAUGAAGAAGAUUGACACGGCCACGAUGCGGAUUGACUGUGGCCCUAAUAAAGUUCUUGUAGUCAGCAAAGAAGCCGUGCAUCAGGCUUUUGGUUUCCCCAUGGGUGAUGACACAGCUCCCAGGCCAGCUGAUAGCGGCCAUGACGAGUCAAUGGCUAGAUUUAAGGCAGAGUUGGGUUUCAGCAAAGCUUCUGUGGUUGACACAAAAGACUUGAGGAAUGUCUUGAAGCAGCUUGUAGUCGAUGAGUCAAAGGAUGCGCUUGCUAUAAAGGUUUUCUUUGCUAUCCUUUUUUCAAAAAUGAUAUGCCCAGGUCCUGCUGUCCGUGUAGGCAAGGAGGCGGCAAUGCUAGAUGGUAUUGUUUUUGAAGAUAUGGCAACGAUGGAUUUUUGCCAGCUAGUAGUGGAUGAGUUAAAGCGUGCAGCUAUCAGAUGGCAAGAUCCAAAUAUCAUUCAAGCAGGUCCAGAAGGUUGUGGAGUAGUGCUAGUCCUUAUGUAUCUUGAUUGUUGCCUACUGAAGGCCGUGUCUGUGAUGCAUGUGCAGACUCCGCGUGCAAAUUUCCUGACAGAGAAGGUGCUGAAUUCAAUUUUCUUGAAAGAUAUUGUAAAGAAGGGUGUGAAAAUUUUGGACGGCUAUGUUUUUGGAAAAUUUGGGUGGAAAUCCCGUAACCAGAUUGCAUAUUCCCAGCAAGUUCCCCCUGGGCAAAGUCGUGAUCGCGCUUUUCCUGAUGCACAUGUCCCUACCUACGCACCAAAAGAACAUGCACAUGAUGAGGCUGGCUGUAGCCAGAAUGCAGAUGUAGCUUUUAAUGUACAAAAAUUGAGUAAUGCCAUGGAAGAUGGUGGUGUAUUUGCGAAGAUUAAUGGCUUAUUGCAGAAGGUGGAUGAGUUGGCCACUGAAGUUUCCACGACGUCUGAUCGGCUGGGCUGCAUUGCUGGCAUUUUCCCUGAAGGUCAUGGACCAAGGGAAGAAUCAAUGAAGGAGGCUACAGAGCGUGAUGUUGCUAUCAUCGAUAGUAUCCGGAGCGCGACAUCACACAUUUGCACCACUUUCAUUGACUUGAAGAAGAAACAAGAUGCCAUAUGCAAAGGCUUUGAAAAUGAUGCUCGUAUUAUUGUGAGUCAGAUUAGCAAGCAGAAGAAUGACGUGUCUGCCCCUGUUGUUGUGAAUGCGCCUGAUGAUGAUGAAGAGAAGCAAGAGCCCCCUACUGAAUCUCCUCCGCAUGAUUUUAGUGACGACAAUGUCAUUGAUGACGACUUGCUGGGUGGUGAUUCUGAUGGGGGUCGCAAGGUUGUUGACGACAUCAUUGAUUAUACAGAGGGAAUUUUUGCACCAGACCUGCCCGUAGCCCAAGGGAAGCACGACAGCGUAUCAGUUACGAUUGAAGGUGGUUUAGAAUUUAAAGAUCACGCUUCAAAUGAAUCUAGCCAGGUUGUCACUCACAAUGCUGAUAGUGGUUCAGGUUUGCUUGAUGGUAGACAGGCGCCUGAAGGUGCUUGUGAGAGUGUGUUUGUCAUGGAUGGCGUUGGUGAUGGUGUCAAUCAUGCAGCAAGUUGUGUAGGAAAACAAGCGCUGAGAGGUACAUCUAUGCCUGAAAGCAUUGGAGCCAGAGGUGAUGUAUUUCCUAUUCCGGUCCGCGAAAUGCAUGUUGUCGAUGGAGCAUGUGCAUCGAACAAGGAUGCGAAGCAUACUGUUGUUUCUGAAUUUCUGAAGGAUGCUACAGUUGUUGACACCCACCCAGGUCGUGUUGCUCAUGCUACUGUAGCAGACCCCAAGGAUGCAAGUGUUUUCAAUGUGUCUCAUGUGCUAGACAAAUCAAAUGUUGACCGUGGUGCAUCUGCUCCUGCGAGACUUUUUGGGAAUCCUGCAGAAGUUACCGAGGGGUUAGAUGCGAAGCUGAAAGAUAUAAUUUCAAAAGCUAUGAUGCGCGGUAAUUAUAGUGUUGAGCCUCAGCCUGAAGUUGAACCCAACGUUGACAAAGUUGGUGCUGAUGGCGCUUCUGAGGAGACAAAUAGCGAUGACUUGGGAGUGUCAAUAAAUGAGAUAGAUUCAUCUCAAACAGUCCCCAGUUUUACGCAAACCCCAACCACACCUGAAGCUGUGCAAUGCAUGAAGGACUUAUACUCUGCUAUUAUGAGGUUAAGGAAGGACAAGAAUAAAAAGGAUGAGGUGCUGUUUGAGAAUGCGUUUUGCAAAGCAACUGUCAAGCAGGUUGCGGAGUCUUUCAGAGUUGGUGGCAUGCUGAACACUGCGGUUGCUUCUCAAUCUAUCUGGAAGGGGUCCUUUGAUAAUAGGCACUUGAUCAGAUUUUUCUUUGCCUAUGCCGAUGAGCCGCUGGAUAAGAAGGAUAUUGUACUCUUUGGUGUCUUUGACCCUCCAGCUACCAGGGAAGGUGCGGGGCACUAUUGCGUAGUUGCGCUAAACAUUAAGCAUUGUUGUUUUGAGCUGCUUGAUUCUUGGCACCUUCCCGGUAGUGAGAGUGGCAUAAGGGUCAUAAACAGGAUGGCGAAGAACAUUAAGCAGCUUUGGAGGAAUGGCUCGUCUGAGCGCAAGAAGAAGAAGUUGGAUCCGGCAAACAUUGACCAUUUCCGUUUGCACCAUGCCGUUGUGCCCCAGCAGGAAAACCCUAUCGACUGUGGUUUUUUCAUGAAUGAACUGCUGGAGACAUAUGAUGAUCUUGGGCUAGACGAGCCUAAAUUUAGUUUGUUCAAGAGCCAAUGUGAGACGCAAGAAAUUCAGGUAAUAUCGGAUGAUGACAUAUUGAAGUCAGUUGAAGCUGUUAAAGUAAAGAAGGACGGUGUGCACUCAAAAUCAAAGGGGGUGACUUGGGCUGCCCCAAAGGCUGUGGAUCGUUGUGUUGAGAGUGAUGAUGAUUCUUUUAUGCCUCCGGCGCCUAAAAAGGGUUUGCCGCCCAGAGCUGCUAGUCAUAUUAAAGCAACAGUGAAAUCACCUCUUGUUAUGAGUGACUAUGAUGAUUUCAUUUUGCAUGGUGAGAGAACAGUGUUCACCAGGAGAAAAUCAGUGGAGGAGCCAUUGGUAGUGUCUAAUAAAAGGCCAGUUGCUCUGUCAAUGAGGCUGAGAAUGCCUGUGUAUGCUCUCAAGCCAUUCAAGUUUCCAUUUGUGGCUGUUGCAAAACAAAUUUUGGACCUAAUACUUAGCAAGGAGUUUAUCGACAAGGUCCCUCUGUUUAAGUGCACUUCUCGAACUGGCGAUGAAUUUAUAGCUGAUGCUAAAUAUCUAGUUACCUACUUUGGUCCUGCCGGUUGCAUUGAUACUGAGUUGAUGGAUCUUGUGAUCAGCUAUUGGAAGGGAAGCCCUGACUACAAUCAUGUGUAUAAAUCCGGAGAUAGGGUGUUGCUUAGCCCGUAUGUGAUAAAUUAUCUUGUUGAAAUUGAACCAUACCAUCGGCCAGUUGAUGAAGAUGGGCAGGAGAUCCCGAGGCCGCCCUUCAAUGUUAAACUUGCUGCUCAGAAGUUCAAGCUAUACAUAAAAGAGAACCUGCUCGCUGCAAACCUGAUCAUGCUACCAUAUUGGAAUCGGAAUCAUUUCACACUGUACACUAUGAACAAGUAUCGUGAGUCCCUGGAUAUCCAUGACUCGUGGAGAUACACAGGGCGUAACCUUUCAAGGAACCGAUUCCAUGAAGAACAUGUCGAAAUUAUGUCCAGGAUGUCGUUGUUGAUGAAGGAGGUGUAUGGCGAAGCUGCAUACAACUCUUCAAGACAGCCCCGUUGGGAACAUCUGGCAGAGAGAUGUAGCUACGCGAAAAUGCUAGAGCAAGGGGUUAACGAAUGUGGCUUUUACAUGUUAAAAGCUGCUUUUUUGUAUGAUGGCAUCAAGCUAGUAGAGGAAGUGAAGAAGCGUGAUCCAUAUUCUGCGUACUGGAAGGCCGAGUGCCUUUUUUAUGUUCUUUUCCACCCUAAUAAUGAGGUUCGGCGCGACCAGUGGCCGGGGGAGAUGGCUGACAUUGCUAAGUUGUUAUAA